UUAGAGUUUGAUCCUGGCUCAAGACGAACGCUGGCGGCGCGCCUAACACAUGCAAGUCGAACGAGAGAGAGGGAGCUUGCUUCCUCAAUCGAGUGGCGAACGGGUGAGUAACGCGUGAGGAACCUGCCUCAAAGAGGGGGACAACAGUUGGAAACGACUGCUAAUACCGCAUAAGCCCACGGGUCGGCAUCGACCAGAGGGAAAAGGAGCAAUCCGCUUUGAGAUGGCCUCGCGUCCGAUUAGCUAGUUGGUGAGGUAACGGCCCACCAAGGCGACGAUCGGUAGCCGGACUGAGAGGUUGAACGGCCACAUUGGGACUGAGACACGGCCCAGACUCCUACGGGAGGCAGCAGUGGGGAAUAUUGCACAGUGGGGGAAACCCUGAUGCAGCGACGCCGCGUGGAGGAAGAAGGUCUUCGGAUUGUAAACUCCUGUUGUUGAGGAAGAUAAUGACGGUACUCAACAAGGAAGUGACGGCUAACUACGUGCCAGCAGCCGCGGUAAAACGUAGGUCACAAGCGUUGUCCGGAAUUACUGGGUGUAAAGGGAGCGCAGGCGGGAAGACAAGUUGGAAGUGAAAUCUAUGGGCUCAACCCAUAAACUGCUUUCAAAACUGUUUUUCUUGAGUAGUGCAGAGGUAGGCGGAAUUCCCGGUGUAGCGGUGGAAUGCGUAGAUAUCGGGAGGAACACCAGUGGCGAAGGCGGCCUACUGGGCACCAACUGACGCUGAGGCUCGAAAGUGUGGGUAGCAAACAGGAUUAGAUACCCUGGUAGUCCACACCGUAAACGAUGAUUAUUAGGGUGUUGGAGGGAUUGACCCCUUCAGUGCCGCAGUUAACACAAUAAGUAAUCCACCUGGGGAGUACGACCGCAAGGUUGAAACUCAAAGGAAUUGACGGGGGCCCGCACAAGCAGUGGAGUAUGUGGUUUAAUUCGACGCAACGCGAAGAACCUUACCAAGUCUUGACAUCCCUUGACGAACAUAGAAAUAUGUUUUCUCUUCGGAGCAAGGAGACAGGUGGUGCAUGGUUGUCGUCAGCUCGUGUCGUGAGAUGUUGGGUUAAGUCCCGCAACGAGCGCAACCCUUACUGUCAGUUACUACGCAAGAGGACUCUGGCAGGACUGCCGUUGACAAAACGGAGGAAGGUGGGGAUGACGUCAAAUCAUCAUGCCCUUUAUGACUUGGGCUACACACGUACUACAAUGGCGUUAAACAAAGAGAAGCAAGACCGCGAGGUGGAGCAAAACUCAGAAACAACGUCCCAGUUCGGACUGCAGGCUGCAACUCGCCUGCACGAAGUCGGAAUUGCUAGUAAUCGUGGAUCAGCAUGCCACGGUGAAUACGUUCCCGGGCCUUGCAC
RNAcentral lists this ribosomal RNA (1361 nucleotides) under uncultured bacterium. RNAcentral describes it as "16S ribosomal RNA". It matches the Rfam family "Bacterial small subunit ribosomal RNA". The record is from RNAcentral.